This 505-nucleotide ribosomal RNA is filed under the name uncultured bacterium. RNAcentral describes it as "partial 16S ribosomal RNA". It matches the Rfam family "Bacterial small subunit ribosomal RNA", at positions 29 to 523 of the family's 1533-position model. The record is from RNAcentral.
AACGAACGCUGGCGACGCGUCUUAAGCAUGCAAGUCGGACGGCAGCACGGGGCAACCUGGUGGCGAGUGGCGAACGGGUGAGUAACGCGUAGAUGAUCUACCUUCUGGUUGGGGAUAGCCUGUGGAAACACAGGGCAAUACCGAAUGAUGUCGUACUGCUAUGGCGGAACGAUUAAAGGGGCUACGGCCUCGCCUGGAGAUGAGUCUGCGUCUGAUUAGCUAGUUGGUGAGGUAAGAGCUCACCAAGGCGACGAUCAGUAGCCGGCCUGAGAGGGUGAUCGGCCACACUGGGACUGAGAUACGGCCCAGACUCCUACGGGAGGCAGCAGCUAAGAAUCUUCCGCAAUGGACGAAAGUCUGACGGAGCGACGUCGCGUGGGUGAUGAAGGCGGAAACGUUGUAAAGCCCUUUUAUGGAUGUGGAAUGAGUCUGGGAGGGAAUGCCCGGAUGAUGACGGUAAUCCAUGAAUAAGCCCCGGCUAAUUACGUGCCAGCAGCCGCGGUAA